AUUGAACGCUGGCGGCGGGCUUAAUACAUGCAAGUCGAGCGAGAGGCGGAGGGGUGAGUGAUGUCUGAGAAAGUGCGUGACGGAGGGAGAUAACUACGAGAAACGGUAGAUACUACAGCAAACCGUCAGAUGGGGCCUGAUGGGAUUAGCUAGUAGGUGGGGUAAUGGCUCAUCUCGGCGACGAUCCCUAGCUGGUCGGAGAGGAUGAGCGGCCACACUGGAACUGAGACACGGUCCAGACUCCUACGUGAGGCAGCAGUGGGGAAUAUUGCACAAUGGGCGCAAGCCUGAUGCAGCCAUGCCGCGUGUGUGAAGAAGGCCUUCGGGUUGUAAAGCACUUUCAGCGAGGAGGCGUUACUCGCAGAAGAAGCACCGGCUAACUCCGUGCCAGCCGCCGCGGUAAUAC
RNAcentral lists this ribosomal RNA (406 nucleotides) under uncultured bacterium. Its description in RNAcentral is "partial 16S ribosomal RNA". It matches the Rfam family "Bacterial small subunit ribosomal RNA", at positions 29 to 526 of the family's 1533-position model. The record is from RNAcentral.